This 78-nucleotide small RNA is filed under the name Xanthomonas vasicola. RNAcentral's name for it is "sX9 sRNA". It matches the Rfam family "Xanthomonas sRNA sX9". The record is from RNAcentral. RNAcentral also lists the same sequence under 2 other names. Lineage: Bacteria; Pseudomonadati; Pseudomonadota; Gammaproteobacteria; Lysobacterales; Lysobacteraceae.
AUGUACCACUCGUACACUGCGGUUCCGAGCGCGGCGUGCACACCCGUCUGACGACCGCUCGCUAUGGUUUUGUUAGCC